This 254-nucleotide ribosomal RNA is filed under the name uncultured bacterium. RNAcentral's name for it is "partial 16S ribosomal RNA". It matches the Rfam family "Bacterial small subunit ribosomal RNA", at positions 524 to 776 of the family's 1533-position model. The record is from RNAcentral.
GACGGAGGGGGCAAGCGUUGUUCGGAAUUAUUGGGCGUAAAGGGCGCGUAGGCGGAUCUGUGUGUCUGGCGUGAAAUCUCCACCACUUAACGGGGAGAGGUCGCUGGAAACUGCAGAUCUGGAGUUUGUUAGAGGACCAUGGAAUUCCAGGUGUAGCGGUGGAAUGCGUAGAUAUCUGGAAGAACACCGAUGGCGAAGGCAGCCCCCUGGGUUAACACUGACGCUCAUGCACGAAAGCGUGGGGAGCAAACAGG